CACGUAGGGCGCGAGCGUUGUCCGGAAUUAUUGGGCGUAAAGGGCGCGUAGGCGGUGCGGUAAGUCUGUAGUGAAAUCUCUGGGCUCAACUCAGAGUCUGCUGCAGAAACUGCCGUGCUUGAGUGUGGGAGAGGUGAGUGGAAUUCCCGGUGUAGCGGUGAAAUGCGUAGAUAUUGGGAGGAACACCAGUGGCGCAAGCGGCUAUCUGGACUGACAUUGACGCUGAGGCACGAAAGCGUGGGGAUCAAACAGG
RNAcentral lists this ribosomal RNA (253 nucleotides) under uncultured bacterium. Its description in RNAcentral is "partial 16S ribosomal RNA". It matches the Rfam family "Bacterial small subunit ribosomal RNA", at positions 524 to 776 of the family's 1533-position model. The record is from RNAcentral.